This 1974-nucleotide ribosomal RNA is filed under the name Triticum aestivum (bread wheat). RNAcentral's name for it is "partial small subunit ribosomal RNA". Lineage: Eukaryota; Viridiplantae; Streptophyta; Magnoliopsida; Poales; Poaceae. The record is from RNAcentral.
AUGGAUGCGAUGGAUUCGGUCGCCGUGAUGGAGGUGGCGCCGGUGCCGGACCCGCUCUUCGUCGGCGCCACUCCCCUGAUCCCGGCGCCACCGGAGUCGGAGCUCGUGCUGCGCCGCAGCGCCCGCUGCCUCGGCAGGCCACGUCUCCCAGUCUACGCGGAGCCGGAGGAGCCCAAGCAGUCCGCCGGCCGCCGGGGUCGCCCUAAGAAGAAGAGGGACGAGGAAAACCAGGACCCGGCUCCGCAGGUCGCGGCCAAGGUGCCCCGGAAGACCGCCAAGGUCGAGCCAAAGGAGAGGAAGCCGAUGCCGGUGGUUGGGCCGGAACCGGUUCCUGCUGAUUUCACCGGAGCUGCCGCGGAGGACGACGCCCUCGGCACGGGAAAGAGUGCCAAGCUGCGGGUCAAGGAAACCUUGCGUGCCUUCAACAGCCACUACCUCCACCUUGUCCAGGAAGAGCAGAAAAGAGCACAGGCUGUCAUACAGGAGAUUGCAGCCAAAGGAGCUGCCAAAAAUAAGGAUGGCAAGAAAGGGGGCGAAGGCGAGGCCAAAGAAAAGCGCCCGUCUAAGCGGCCUGAUUUGAAAGCAAUUACAAAGAUGCAAGAGAACAACUCUUUUCUUUAUACGGAGAAGGUGUUAGGGCCAAUACCAGGGAUCGACGUCGGGGAUCAGUUUUAUUCUCGUGCGGAGAUGGUGGUCUUAGGCAUUCACAGCCAUUGGCUGAAUGGAAUUGACUAUAUGGGUAUGAAAUACCAAGAAAAGAAGGAGUACGAGAACUUCACUUUCCCCAUGGCAACUUGCAUUGUCAUGUCAGGGAUAUAUGAAGAUGAUCUGGACAAGGCUGAUGAAAUUAUUUAUACUGGUCAGGGAGGGAAUGAUUUACUUGGCAACCAUCGCCAAAUUGGUUCUCAACAACUGAACCGUGGAAAUUUGGCAUUGAAGGUUGUAGAUGACUGGGUGCAGAAGGGAGUACAAGGACAUGUGGUAUACAAGUAUAAAUUGAAGAGGCUUGAGGGUCAGCCGUCAUUGACAACCACUGAGGUGCGAUUCACUCGUGCGGAAGCUCCCAGAAAGAUUUCUGAAUUACCUGGGUUGGUUUGUGAUGACAUCUCUGGAGGACAGGAGAACAUUCCAAUUCCUGCUACUAAUGUGGUCGACGACCCACCUGUUCCUCCAUCUGGUUUUGUGUACUCCAAAUCGCUAAAAAUCUCAAAAGGCAUGAAGAUUCCAUCUGAUUGUGCUGGCUGUGACUGUGAAGGUGAUUGUGCUAAUAACAAAAAUUGUUCAUGUGCUCAACUUAACGGCUCGGAUUUGCCUUAUGUAUCAUUUAAGAAUAUUGGCAGGUUAGUGGAGCCCAAAGCAGUUGUAUUCGAGUGUGGUGCUAACUGCAGCUGCAAUCGAAACUGUGUCAAUAGAACAUCUCAACAAGGGCUGCAACAUCGCCUAGAGGUUUUCAAGACGGCUUCCAAAGGAUGGGGUGUUAGGACCUGGGACACGAUCCUCCCGGGGGCUCCAAUCUGUGAGUAUGUUGGGGUGUUGAGGAGGACUGAGGAAGUGGAUGGUUUGCUACAUAACAACUACAUAUUUGACAUUGAUUGUCUUCAAACUAUGAAGGGUUUAGAUGGACGGGAGAAAAGGGCAGGGUCUGAUAUGAAUAUGCCAUCACUUCAUGCUGAAAAUGAUUCCGAGGCACCACCGGCACCAGAGUACUGCAUAGAUGCUGGCUCUAUUGGAAGUUUCGCAAGGUUCAUAAACCACAGCUGUAACCCUAACCUCUUCGUCCAGUGUGUCCUAACCAAUCACCACGACGUGAAGCUAGCCAAGGUGAUGCUUUUUGCUGCUGACACGAUACUUCCACUUCAGGAGCUCUGCUAUGACUACGGCUAUGUCCUGAACAGCGUCGUUUCUGCGGAUGGCGAAAUUGUCAAGCUGCCAUGCUACUGUGGUGCCCCAGACUGCCGCAAGCGACUCUACUAG